UCAAACUUGGUCAUUUAGAGGAAGUAAAAGUCGUAACAAGGUUUCCGUAGGUGAACCUGCGGAAGGAUCAUUAACGAGUUUUUGAAAGGGGUUGUAGCUGGCCGAAAAACAAGGCAUGUGCACACCCUGCUCAAUCCACUCUUAACCCCUGUGCACUUACUGUAGGCUUUGGUGGGAUGGCUGACUUCGGUUGGCUUGAAAGCCUUGCCUAUGUCUAUUACAAACACUAAAGUAUAAGAAUGUAACAUAGCGUCUAACGCAUUAAAUACAACUUUCAGCAACGGAUCUCUUGGCUCUCGCAUCGAUGAAGAACGCAGC
This 318-nucleotide unclassified non-coding RNA is filed under the name uncultured fungus. Its description in RNAcentral is "partial contains small subunit ribosomal RNA, internal transcribed spacer 1, and 5.8S ribosomal RNA". The stretch from base 1 to 73 matches the Rfam family "Eukaryotic small subunit ribosomal RNA", at positions 1759 to 1831 of the family's 1831-position model. Lineage: Eukaryota; Fungi. The record is from RNAcentral.